Molecule: ribosomal RNA, 322 nt
Filed under: uncultured eukaryote
Lineage: Eukaryota
Description: partial 18S ribosomal RNA
Rfam family: Eukaryotic small subunit ribosomal RNA
Source: RNAcentral
CCCUUAGAUGUUCUGGGCCGCACGCGUGCUACACUGAGUGGAUCAGCGGGUCAGGUUGCGCGAAAGUGUUUCCUAAUCUUUAAAUCCGCUCGUGAUGGGGAUUGACGGUUGCAAUUUUCCGUCAUGAACGAGGAAUACCUUGUAAGCGCGGGUCAUCAUCCCGCGCUGAAUACGUCCCUGCCCUUUGUACACACCGCCCGUCGCUCCUACCGAUUGAGUGGUCCGGUGAGGCUUUGGGAUCUGAGCGGAAAGAGCGUUUCGCUGUUUCUGCCCGGAAAACUCAGUCGAACCUUAUAAUUUAGAGGAAGGAGAAGUCGUAACA